RNAcentral lists this ribosomal RNA (253 nucleotides) under uncultured bacterium. Its description in RNAcentral is "partial 16S ribosomal RNA". It matches the Rfam family "Bacterial small subunit ribosomal RNA", at positions 524 to 776 of the family's 1533-position model. The record is from RNAcentral.
UACGUAGGGGGCAAGCGUUGUCCGGAAUCAUUGGGCGUAAAGAGCGUGUAGGCGGCCCGAUAAGUCCGCCGUGAAAGCCCAGGCUCAACCCUGGGAUGCCGGUGGAUACUGUCGGGCUAGAAUCCGGAAGAGGCGAGUGGAAUUCCUGGUGUAGCGGUGAAAUGCGCAGAUAUCAGGAGGAACACCGAGUGGCGAAGGCAGCUCGCUGGGACGGUAUUGACGCUGAGACGCGAAAGCGUGGGGAGCAAACAGG